RNAcentral lists this unclassified non-coding RNA (345 nucleotides) under soil metagenome. Its description in RNAcentral is "partial contains 5.8S ribosomal RNA, internal transcribed spacer 2, and large subunit ribosomal RNA". The stretch from base 1 to 120 matches the Rfam family "5.8S ribosomal RNA", at positions 35 to 154 of the family's 154-position model. The record is from RNAcentral.
GAUGAAGAACGCAGCGAAAUGCGAUACGUAAUGUGAAUUGCAGAAUUCAGUGAAUCAUCGAGUCUUUGAACGCACAUUGCGCCCCCUGGUAUUCCGGGGGGCAUGCCUGUCCGAGCGUCAUUGCUGCCCUCAAGCACGGCUUGUGUGUUGGGCCUCCGUCCUCCUCCCGGGGGACGGGCCCGAAAGGCAGCGGCGGCACCGCGUCCGGUCCUCGAGCGUAUGGGGCUUCGUCACCCGCUCUUGUAGGCCCGGCCGGCGCUUGCCGACACAUCAAUCUUUUUUCCAGGUUGACCUCGGAUCAGGUAGGGAUACCCGCUGAACUUAAGCAUAUAAAUAAGCGGAGGA